This 73-nucleotide transfer RNA is filed under the name Ailuropoda melanoleuca (giant panda). It matches the Rfam family "tRNA". From Rfam's summary of the family: Transfer RNA (tRNA) molecules are approximately 80 nucleotides in length. Lineage: Eukaryota; Metazoa; Chordata; Mammalia; Carnivora; Ursidae. The record is from Rfam by way of RNAcentral.
GCCUGGCUGGCUCAGUCCGUGGAGCAUGCGACUCUUGAUCCUGGGGUCGUGAGUUCAAGCCCCAUGUUGGGUG